This 555-nucleotide ribosomal RNA is filed under the name Triticum aestivum (bread wheat). RNAcentral describes it as "partial small subunit ribosomal RNA". The record is from RNAcentral. Lineage: Eukaryota; Viridiplantae; Streptophyta; Magnoliopsida; Poales; Poaceae.
GAGGUGGUGGCAUUCGGCGACCGGCUGUGGUGGCUCGACCCGACCUGGGGCAUCUGCUCCGUCGACCCUUUCAGCGACCAGCCGGAGCAUCGCUUCGUGGAGCUGCCCCCGGCCAGCGUGCUGCCUGACCUGAUUGACCUGGCGGGGACUCCGGUGCUGGGCAGGUACCGUCGUCUGGGAGUGAGCGAGGGGAAGCUGCGCUAUGUGGAGGUGUCUAACAGCAGGAAGCCAUUCGUGUGCAGCUCCUUCUCGCUCGACGAGAAGGGCUGCUGCUGGACGGUCGAGCACAAGGUUGCAUUCAAUCCUGUUCUCCCUGAAAGGUGCAAAGUUCUGGAAGACCACAUACCGUGCAUUGCCGCCAUCGAUCCAUUCCGGGCGAACUUUCUGUACCUCGUCUAUGGUCGCUUUCUUAUUGUUGUGGACAUGGCCAAGGGGAAAAGCUUAGGGGGCCGGUAUCUUCCAGAAAGAACCGGCGAUCAAACCCUGUGCCCCUCUGGUUUCCUUGUGCCCUGCACGCUCCCAACAUGGCUAGAGUCGAGCUACAUCCCCUGUGCA